Long non-coding RNA from Orcinus orca (killer whale), 439 nucleotides. RefSeq lists it as uncharacterized. The record is from RefSeq and is a predicted model, not a curated record. NCBI's taxonomy places the organism in Eukaryota, Metazoa, Chordata, Mammalia, Artiodactyla, Delphinidae. The transcript has 3 exons.
UCCUGCUCUACCCCCCAGGACACCUCAGUAGAAGCGAGCUCCAUUUGUUAUGGAAUCGGGUCCCACUGCUUGCCCCUUACAAAAUCAAUACUCACAGACGAUGGUAGAGAGGAAAGUUGCCUUUAAUCAGAAAGCCAGUAAUCUGGGGAGAUGGUGGACACAGGGUCCCCCAAAACCACCUCUGAAGAUUCUGCUCAGCCAUGAAAGCUUCUAAAGAUUAAACCUGAAGGCCAGGCAUCUAAGCUUCCCUCAAGAACAUCUUGGUACUUGCCUUAACAACCAGCUCACAGGGAAACACCUUGACCCUGCCCACCUGUGAAUGGCUGCAGAAAAGAAGAAAUUAACACAUCCUCUCCCUCAGGCUGGCCAAGCCAGGAGAUACUUUGGAAGACUUAUGGCCUUUUUAUUUUACUUCCUCACCCACCCUCCCCCCCACCCC